This 988-nucleotide ribosomal RNA is filed under the name Plasmodium knowlesi. Its description in RNAcentral is "SSU rRNA". It matches the Rfam family "Eukaryotic small subunit ribosomal RNA", at positions 638 to 1428 of the family's 1831-position model. Lineage: Eukaryota; Apicomplexa; Aconoidasida; Haemosporida; Plasmodiidae. The record is from RNAcentral.
ACAUAACUGAUGCCUCCGCGUAUCGACUUUGUGCGCAUUUUAGCUAUUAUGUGUUCUUUUAAUUAAAAUGAUUCUUUUUAAGAUUCAUCUAUUAAAAAUUUGCUUCGGCAUAAUUUUUUUUGAUGAUCUUGUUACUUUGAGUAAAUUAGAGUGUUCAAAGCAAACAGAUAUAGCAUUUGUGCGUUUGAAUACUACAGCAUGGAAUAACAAAAUUGAACAAGUCAGAAUUUUUUUGUUCUUUUUUCUUAUUUUGGCUUAGUUACGAUUAAUAGGAGUAGCUUGGGGGCAUUUGUAUUCAGAUGUCAGAGGUGAAAUUCUUAGAUUUUCUGGAGACAAACAACUGCGAAAGCAUUUGCCUAAAAUACUUCCAUUAAUCAAGAACGAAAGUUAAGGGAGUGAAGACGAUCAGAUACCGUCGUAAUCUUAACCAUAAACUAUGCCGACUAGGCUUUGGAUGAAAGAUUUUAAAAUAAGAGUUUUUCUUUUCUCUCCGGAGAUUAGAACUCUUAGAUUGCUUCCUUCAGUGCCUUAUGAGAAAUCAAAGUCUUUGGGUUCUGGGGCGAGUAUUCGCGCAAGCGAGAAAGUUAAAAGAAUUGACGGAAGGGCACCACCAGGCGUGGAGCUUGCGGCUUAAUUUGACUCAACACGGGAAAACUCACUAGUUUAAGACAAGAGUAGGAUUGACAGAUUAAUAGCUCUUUCUUGAUUUCUUGGAUGGUGAUGCAUGGCCGUUUUUAGUUCGUGAAUAUGAUUUGUCUGGUUAAUUCCGAUAACGAACGAGAUCUUAACCUGCUAAUUAGCGGCAAAUACGAUAUAUUCUUAUGUAGAAUUGAAUAUAGUGGAUUUGUUGGAUUUUGAAGAAAAUAUUGGAAUUACGUUUAAAUGUGAUUCCUUUCCCUUUCCUACUUAAUUUACAUUUCCAUCUAUUUCUUUUUUGCGUAUGAAUGUAUUUGCUUGAUUGUAAGGCUUCUUAGAGGAACGAUGUGUG